AUUGGGGAAUGGCUUAAGGAGAAAGGGCAUGGUGGGGAUACCGACCCUUUGUAUUAAGAGAAAUGUUUUAGUCAGGAUGGGUAGGCCCGGGUAGGCCUCAGUUAGCAUGAGAAUGACUAGGCAAAUGGAAAAGUACUGACCGAAAGUAACAGUAAGAUAAAAAUGCUGACUGCAGGUUACUGAAAGUCACAGAACAGCCUGUUGUAAGCAAUAAAAGUGCUGACUGCAGUUCCUGUUAUAAGCAACUUUGUAGAAAUAUGUUUGAGAAGAUAAGGAACUAACAUACCAGAGAAACCACAAGUAGGCUGAGCUAAUUUGAUAUGCACUCCAAUCAUAUAAUGACUAGUAGGCAUAAUUAAUGAUAACAGUAUAUAAGCGAGCUGUAUCCGAUCAAUAAAUGAAGUAUGCUUAUCACUCAUAUUGAGUUGGCUGCAUUUCUUCCUCCGCACGCGGGUCCUGAACUCUGAAGCGUUUCCCAACAUCUGGCGCCCGAACAGGGACUCGUGCUGCGGAUUAGGUCGAGGAACGGCACCGGUUUGGCAGCGGCCGGUGGGCAAGAGCAACCGAACAUUGUACUGCGAUGUGUUGACUCCGACGCCUGGGCGAUUGAAGUUUUAAGCUCGCCGUAUACGGGCACACUGGAAGGCUGCAAAGAAGUCUUUUGAGCUCAAGAAGAGGUAUUUAUUUAUAUUAUGAGUACAGAGGUUAUGGAUUUCGAGGUGGCCCUAGAUAUUUUACAAAGCUUUUUAGAAAAGCGAGGGGUUAAUUAUAGUUGCGUUAAACAGCUAGCUGGUCUAGUAGCAACGGGGAAAAACUAAGGGGUGUUUUCAGGAUCCUGAUUUAUUGUUUGAUGAAGGAGAGUGGAGGAAAUUAGGGGACGUGUUGUGGGAUAUGGUCAUAGACGAGGAUAAAACAGCUAAGAAACUGAGGAAACCGUGGAGGGAAGUAAUUAAUAGUAUUAAGCGUCAUAAAGUGAAAAAGAAUUUAGCCGCGGUAGCUUCACAGAAACUCGGCAAAAUGGAGCCUUCCGCUCCGCCGAUGGAAACGGGCAUAUCUGCGUUAUCAGCGAAGAACCUUAAAAGACUAUUAACUUGGUGCAGAGGCAAUAGGUAUCCUGCUGACCUGUCAGGAGUUUUUCAAAUAGAGACUUGGAAAAAGAUGGGAACUGUGUUGUGGAAGGCAAUUAGUCACCGCGAAAGAUAUAUUCUCGGCCUUGUAACCAUCUGGAAACUGAUAAAUACUACAAUGAAGCAAUUAAAACCUGAAAAGACUGUUACGAGCAUUAGUGACUCAAAACUUGAACUUUGGGACAGUGUAGAGCAGAAAUUAUGGGAUAAAGUCAGCAAUGGACAUACAGAAGCUAAAUCAUUAGUAACUACAUGGAAGCUUGAACGGUCUGCUGCUGCCGGAAUUUUUGCAGCAUUGCAGCCUGAUAAGUAUCCUGAAAGUUGCGGUGAAAUUCACCCGGUUUGUGUCUGCGAUACCCUCCCUAUGCAAUCCCCUGCUGUGCUUUCGGCACCCCCGAUGGUUCAGCAGCUUGCUGCGGGGGGAGGAACAAUGCCAAACGGUUAGCCUCCUGUACCAUCAUCUAACCCUGGUGAGAACAGCAAGUUCAGAGGAUUGGUGUCAGACAACUUACUCAAAGAACCUGUGAAAGCUGAGAAUGCUAAAGUAGUAAACAAGUGUACUAUCAGUUCCUUUUACCAAUUUUGCCAAUCUGCUUUUCCUGCAUUUUAACCCUCUAACUUCCACGAGAGAACAGAAGAAGUCACUGAAAAUAGAACUGGACAACAGAACUGUGUGACAGAUUAGAUCAGUUAACAGCAAGUGAAUCUGACAGUCGGCAAUGUGGCCAUGAUAAUCGUGACGGGAAAGGGGGUGCUUCUGGGGACUCGGGGUAUAAAACUUAGAAGUUAAGGAAGCACUGGUUUUGGAAUUGGCAGUAGAGAAUGCUAAAGUUUGCUAUCAACAUGUUAUUUGUGAGUUUUACAGUGCAUAUUAUGUGCUGCUGUUUAUUGCCUCUCUGAAAGUCAAGCAGCUUGUCAGGAAUGUGAGUUAAUUGUUUUACUGGUUGUUGUUAGAACUGUUUCUUUGUGGUAUAAGUGCACCGUAAAACUUUGUCUCCACUUUUCCCACUCACGCUGCAAGCAGCCCUGUGCUUUUCCGUGGGGUCAGAAAUUACUGUUUUCAGUCGUGUUCAUAAAAAAUCGGUAUUAGGAGGUGUUUCAAAACAUAGGGAAGCACUUGGAAAUAUGAGGAAAGAAAAUCUUGUAAAAUAUUGUAAUUAAUGGUGGCUGCUGUAUAAGUUAAAUGAUUGGGAAAAGUGUCUGGGGAAUAGAAUCUUGAAGUAUAACACCUUAUUGCAAUUAAUGUUGUUUUUAGGGUGAGAAGAGUAAGACAAAAUAAAUCCCUACAAGAGAUCAUUAAAUCAUUUCAGACAGCUGAGAGAGAGUUAACUGAUAACACGCAGGUCACAGUAAACUUGCUGAAGUCUGCACAAUGUUUUCCUUAUUAGCCUGUUUUCUUUGUGGGUAUCUGUUUAAGCAUGUUGCAAUUUUGGUAGGUCUUUGUUAUAUGGUACAGUAAGUUCACAGACUGUUAAAUCAUGAGAAUCGGUUGACUCAAAAGGUGCGUUUUGUGAUAGUAUAAAAGAUCAUGAGUAAUUUAGCUCCCUACUGCAUGAACAUGAUGUUAAGAUUUUAUGUGUAGUAGCUGUUAUAUUUUUUUUUUUUCUAGUGUGCUAGCUUUAUUCCAAUAUCCAGACUUGCGCAACUCUGUGACAAGCUGUCUCUCAUCUCGGUGCACUAAAUUUGGCCUUUUUGUAUGCACAUCAAGUGAAGAAUCAUGGUUUUAGAAUAACAGUUGUAGCGCACCAAAUGAGACACUAAUAAAAGGCCUUGCCCAGUCCAGCUUGCUGCGGGGGGGGGCGGAUGCCAAAUGGGGCUCCAGCGCGCACUGACCCAUUUUGUCAGGGAGACCCAGAGGUAUCUCCACCUGGCUGAGCAGUAAGCGGUUCAAGGUGCAAUGCAAAAAAUUGAGAUAUUAUCUUAAAUUGGUGUAAGUGUGAUUCAUCUGCUUAUUUGAACUUGGUAUAUGGUUUUCGUAUCUGAGCUCAGUAUUUUAGUUUGUAUAUUCAUAUUUGGUACCAAAAGAAUCUUGUUUGGGGAGAUAAUUACAAUGGGAACCGGUUCCACUGCUAAAAUUCCACCUUGCUCCCCCUUAGGAUGCAUCCUUACACAUUAAAGUAAUCGCUUAUAUUGCUAGAAAAGCAUUUAAAUUGUUAAAAUACUAUGAUAGAUGUGAACUUGGGGUAUUGUAUGAAGUUAUGAAGUUGUAUUUAAAGGUUGCUGGAAUGUGAACCGAUUUGGAUCUAGGACAAUAGAAUAAUGGAUUUAUGUUUAUUAUACUGGUGUACACUGGUUUUUUUGACAUCUCUAAAUUGUAAAAGGUAAAUGGAGCUAAGGAAUGUGACUAUUGCUGAGCUACUUGAAAUUGCAUAUAAAGUGUAUUAUGGCUGAAAUGAAAUGGGAAAACAAAAGAGCAAAAUAUCCCAGGCCUGUGUGCAGCUCAUUGUAACUGAGAAGUUUCCCAGAGCCUCCUACUUCGUACCAGCCAGUAUGCCAGCUGCGUGACCUUGGUUAUAUCUACACUGCACAGAAAGAAAAAACAACUGGAAAAACGUGGCUGCCCGCUUUUAAAGCGGUGAAAGGGGGGUUCUCUCUCCCCCCACUGCAGCGAUGUAAUACUGAAUGGAGCCGUCCGAGGGUGAAGUUUAAAGGCAUCCUGAGCAGACCCGUAGUUUUAAUUAAACUGGACAAUUAAACCAAAAAUUUGUUGAUGGACUUAUCCUAUGGUAAUUAAUUGUACGAGACUUCUUAGUAAAUUCACCAUGCUAGUUUUUGAGGACAUGGGAGACAACGAAAGAAAGGCCGUUUUUUGAGACAAACGGAAUGCCAAAUAUGGAACAAAGUUACCUCUCUUGGGUCAGGAUUUGUUAAGUAAAUUGUAAGCUCAAAUAACGUUUUCUGAGAAUUCUGUUUAGUUGCAUAUCCUACAGGAAGGCGCUUGGAUGUUGCAGAUCUGCUUGUGCAAGUGAGAAAUCUUCAAGGAACUUAGCAGCCAAUGUUUUUGAUAAAGCAGAUACUACCCUGAGAAAUCUGAAACAGGACUUCAAUCCGAUCAGGAGCUGCAAUGGUUGCCAGCACGAAACGUGAAACCUGUGUUAUCUUCCUGACAAUGAUUGUUGCAGCUGCUGUGUUUUGGAUGCAUGCACAGACAAAGACUAACAUAUGGAUUACUUUAGCCAACAUGACUGACCACCUAUAUGCCUAACUACGAUGUCUCUGGAAAAAACGUUCUACACAUGCUUGGUUGGUGUCUUCCUUGAUGACUACAGCAGCAUCACACGACUGUUUCAAAUAGUGGUUGAUGCAGAGGCAUUGCAACGAACUGUAAUAAUACUAACACGGCACUUUGGAUUAAUUGCCACCUGGAAGCAGACAUCGAACCACAGGAACUGGAAUUGCUGGCAUCUAUGCCCAUGGAUGCUUGUAUUCAGCCGGUUUGUGAAAAGUGUCAGAACAGUAUACAAGAACAUGAAUGGACAAACUACAAAAUGUUAAUGCUACCCUUGGUGACUACAGAAAUGAAACUCGACGGUGUAAUGCUUCACAGAAGAAUGCAAGGGAUAUCAUUGACAGCGACCCUAAAACCUCCUGUAUGGUGUAUUCUUGAUCUGUGAAGAUAGAGCCUGACCAGGAAUUCCUUCUAACGCUGUUGGAGGACUGUGUAUUUUGGGACUAUUAACUCUCUUAACGUCCAAUGUAUCUAUGAUAAUAGAUCACAAAAGAGCAAGACGAGAAAAAUACUUUUAUGGAUUUACAAAGAUGUGGGCUUCUUUGGACUAGAGGGGCUGUCAAACUGGUUUGGGUUAGGAGGAUGGUUGAAAGGGCUUUUGCAAAGUAUACUUAUGUUACUUAUUAUAAUAAUUGUAGUAGCAAUGUGCAUAAGCUGUGCCUUUUCAUGUCUUCGAAAGCUUUUUGAACGCACCAUGAAUCAAGCAAUGCUCGCGCAAAAAGAAAAAGGGGGAAUUAUUGGGGAAUGGCUUAAGGAGAAAGGGCAUGGUGGGGAUACCGACCCUUUGUAUUAAGAGAAAUGUUUUAGUCAGGAUGGGUAGGCCCGGGUAGGCCUCAGUUAGCAUGAGAAUGACUAGGCAAAUGGAAAAGUACUGACCGAAAGUAACAGUAAGAUAAAAAUGCUGACUGCAGGUUACUGAAAGUCACAGAACAGCCUGUUGUAAGCAAUAAAAGUGCUGACUGCAGUUCCUGUUAUAAGCAACUUUGUAGAAAUAUGUUUGAGAAGAUAAGGAACUAACAUACCAGAGAAACCACAAGUAGGCUGAGCUAAUUUGAUAUGCACUCCAAUCAUAUAAUGACUAGUAGGCAUAAUUAAUGAUAACAGUAUAUAAGCGAGCUGUAUCCGAUCAAUAAAUGAAGUAUGCUUAUCACUCA
Columba livia (rock pigeon) is the source of this 5510-nucleotide long non-coding RNA. RefSeq lists it as uncharacterized. The record is from RefSeq and is a predicted model, not a curated record. The transcript has 2 exons. Lineage: Eukaryota; Metazoa; Chordata; Aves; Columbiformes; Columbidae.